GAGAUGCUGGUGAAUCUGUCGCAUCACCGUAACUAUCGCUUUGCAAACUGUUGCAUGUUUGGACUGCUGUCGUGUCAGCCGCGGCGCGGAUGGCAGCGUGCUGAGAGCGGAGCCGGGAAACCGUGCUGGAAGGAUGUCAGACCGCGUUGUUUCUCUGAAGGCUGCCAUGUUCUCAUCUGUCUCCACAUCAGAGAGGAAAGCAGAUGGUUUUGUAACAGAAGCUGCAGGGGAUCAGCAGAGUAGCAAUUUCAUGACGACCAAAAUAUGUACAUGGUGAACACGAGAAGAAAGGCUGAGAGGGAAAGAGGGAUCAAGAGCAAGCUGGAGAGAUGAAAUGAAGACAAAUACGACGAGGAAAGAGCGGGAAAGGUAUCUAGGUCGGCCCAUCGUAGGAAAUCCAGACACAACAUUCGGAGCGCCAGGAUCUACACCAAGUCUGGAAGGACGGCUGUUUGAAAUUCCUGUCUGGUUAGGAUGAGACCGUGUGGAGAGGUGAGACAGCUGAUGGGGAGUUUGUACUUCACACUAGGUGUCCCAAUCUGACCUUUUACUCCAAGAUAUUUUAAAUUAAACCCAGGAAAA
Toxotes jaculatrix (banded archerfish) is the source of this 582-nucleotide long non-coding RNA. RefSeq lists it as uncharacterized. The transcript is spliced from 3 exons. Lineage: Eukaryota; Metazoa; Chordata; Actinopteri; Toxotidae. The record is from RefSeq and is a predicted model, not a curated record.